This 444-nucleotide ribosomal RNA is filed under the name uncultured prokaryote. Its description in RNAcentral is "bacterial SSU rRNA". It matches the Rfam family "Bacterial small subunit ribosomal RNA", at positions 355 to 796 of the family's 1533-position model. The record is from RNAcentral.
UAAGGAAUAUUGGACAAUGGGCGGAAGCCUGAUCCAGCCAUCCCGCGUGCAGGAAGACGGCCCUCUGGGUUGUAAACUGCUUUUGUAUAGGACGAAUGUUAUCCAUUUAUGGGUAUUUGACGGUACUAUAAGAAUAAGCAUCGGCUAACUCCGUGCCAGCAGCCGCGGUAAUACGGAGGAUGCGAGCGUUAUCCGGAAUCACUGGGUUUAAAGGGUGCGUAGGCGGGAAUAUAAGUCAGAGGUGAAAUCUGGUCGCUUAACGAUCAAAUUGCCUUUGAAACUGUAUUUCUUGAAAUAUGAUGAGGUUGGCAGAAUGUGACAUGUAGCGGUGAAAUGCAUAGAUAUGUCAUAGAAUACCAAUUGCGAAGGCAGCUGACUGGUCAUUAUUUGACGCUGAGGCACGAAAGCGUGGGGAGCGAACAGGAUUAGAUACCCCCGUAGUCC